This 241-nucleotide long non-coding RNA is filed under the name Manihot esculenta (cassava). RNAcentral's name for it is "long non-coding RNA (MESC_LNC007370)". The record is from RNAcentral. Lineage: Eukaryota; Viridiplantae; Streptophyta; Magnoliopsida; Malpighiales; Euphorbiaceae.
AAGGAACCCAUUUCGAGCUUUUUCCUUUUGAGUAAGUUUUCUGUUUUCUCUCUCUUUUUUAUGCGUUUUUUAUUUAUUUUCUGUUGAUUUGAUCUUGUUUUUAGCUCCUAAUCUGAUUAGGGUUGUGUUUUUUAUGAGUUUUGUUGAUGUGGUUUUGAUAUUUUUUUUUUUUGGCAUAUAAUAUCUGCAUUUUGUUAGCUGGGUUGUUUUAUUUGUCUGGUUUUGUUUUACAUAAUUUUUU